AAUCCAUAGGUUAAUGAGGCGAACCGGGGGAACUGAAACAUCUAAGUACCCCGAGGAAAAGAAAUCAACCGAGAUUCCCCCAGUAGCGGCGAGCGAACGGGGAGGAGCCCAGAGCCUGAAUCAGCAUGUGUGUUAGUGGAAGCGUCUGGAAAGGCGCGCGAUACAGGGUGACAGCCCCGUACACAAAAGCGCAUGUGCUGUGAGCUCGAUGAGUAGGGCGGGACACGUGGUAUCCUGUCUGAAUAUGGGGGGACCAUCCUCCAAGGCUAAAUACUCCUGACUGACCGAUAGUGAACCAGUACCGUGAGGGAAAGGCGAAAAGAACCCCGGCGAGGGGAGUGAAAAAGAACCUGAAACCGUGUACGUACAAGCAGUGGGAGCACAGGUUUACCUGUGUGACUGCGUACCUUUUGUAUAAUGGGUCAGCGACUUAUAUUCUGUAGCAAGGUUAACCGUAUAGGGGAGCCGUAGGGAAACCGAGUCUUAAUUGGGCGUUAAGUUGCAGGGUAUAGACCCGAAACCCGGUGAUCUAGCCAUGGGCAGGUUGAAGGUUGGGUAACACUAACUGGAGGACCGAACCGACUAAUGUUGAAAAAUUAGCGGAUGACCUGUGGCUGGGGGUGAAAGGCCAAUCAAACCGGGAGAUAGCUGGUUCUCCCCGAAAGCUAUUUAGGUAGCGCCUCGUGAAUUCAUCUCCGGGGGUAGAGCACUGUUUCGGCUAGGGGGCCAUCCCGGCUUACCAACCCGAUGCAAACUGCGAAUACCGGAGAAUGUUAUCACGGGAGACACACGGCGGGUGCUAACGUCCGUCGUGAAGAGGGAAACAACCCAGACCGCCAGCUAAGGUCCCAAAGUCAUGGUUAAGUGGGAAACGAUGUGGGAAGGCCCAGACAGCCAGGAUGUUGGCUUAGAAGCAGCCAUCAUUUAAAGAAAGCGUAAUAGCUCACUGGUCGAGUCGGCCUGCGCGGAAGAUGUAACGGGGCUAAACCAUGCACCGAAGCUGCGGCAGCGACGCUUAUGCGUUGUUGGGUAGGGGAGCGUUCUGUA
RNAcentral lists this ribosomal RNA (1047 nucleotides) under Salmonella enterica subsp. enterica serovar Saintpaul. Its description in RNAcentral is "partial 23S ribosomal RNA". It matches the Rfam family "Bacterial large subunit ribosomal RNA", at positions 161 to 1245 of the family's 2925-position model. Lineage: Bacteria; Pseudomonadati; Pseudomonadota; Gammaproteobacteria; Enterobacterales; Enterobacteriaceae. The record is from RNAcentral.